AUGGGGUGCAAGGGGUCCAAGCACGCGCUGCAUGGCGGCGGCGGCGCCGCGCUGGAGCCGCGGAAGUGCGCGUCGGGGCUCGUGGCGCGCCACUCCGUCGCGCUCAGGUCGUCCACGCUCGGCACGCUCAGCCUCGACCGCGCCACGGCCGCCGCGGCGGUUUCUUUCGCCGGAGGGGAGGGGGCGGGGGCGACGGCGACGACUGCGAGGCCCGGGAAGGAGGGCGUGUCGGGGAGGUGCCGGUCCUUCGCCGGGUGGUUCCCGGCGUCGCCCAAGGUGGAGCCGGGCCAGCCGGUGAAGCGGCAGAGGCUGGCGCCCCCGCGGACGCCCACCAAGACGCCCGCGCGCGACCCCGAGGAGAUCAACGUGUGGGAGCUCAUGGACGGGCUCGACGACGACGGUGCGGAGGACGAAGAAUACGAUGAUUGCCUGGACGGGCAGGUUCCGUCGGCGUGCGGAUCGCCCGAGUUCGACCCCGACGUCCUGUCCGCGUUCCGGGAGGCGCUCGCCGAGCUGUCGCCCCCACACCCGGACGCCGACGUCGUGAGCGACGGAGGAGCCGUCGUCAAAAAGGAGGAAAUCCAGGUGCUCGACGACGUCGCGAGCGACGGAGGAGCCGUCGUCAAGAAGGAGGAAAUCCAGGUGCUCGCCGACGUCGCGAGCGACGGAGGGGCCGUCGUCAAGAAGGAGGAAAUCCAGGUGUUCGGCGGAGCCAUCGUCAAGAAGGAGGAAAUCCAGGUGUUCGCUGACGUCGCGAGCGACGGCGGAGCCAUCGUCAAGAAGGAGGAAAUCCAGGUGUUCGCCGGCGUCGUGCGGGCGCGGCUCGACGUGCUCCAGGGAAGGAUCGACAGCAGGUCACAAAAGAAUCCCCCGCCGCCCCCGCCCCCGCCGGAGAGCGCGAGGCGGGUGGUUGUGUACCUGACGAGCCUCCGCGGCAUCCGGCAGACGUACGAGGACUGCUGGGCGGCGAGCACGAUCCUGUCCAGCUACGGCGUGCACGUGGACGAGCGCGACCUGUCGAUGCACGCCGGGUACAAGGAGGAGCUGCGCGACGCGCUCGGCGCAGGUGCCCCCGCCUCAGGCACCGGCGUGCUGCCGCAGGUGUUCGUCGACGGCUGGCACCUGGGCGGCGCCGAGGAGGUGCGCCGCAUGCACGAGUCCGGGGAGCUGGCGGAGGCCCUCGAGGCCUGCGAGCCUGCGCCGGGCGCCGCCGGCGGCGGGAAAGAGGGGCCGGGGGGCUUCGCUGCGGAGCCGUGCGGCGGGUGCGGGGGCGCGCGGUUCGUGCCGUGCGACGUCUGCUCCGGCAGUUGCAAGGUGUUCGUCGAGGACGAGGACGGCCCCGGGGCGUUCAGGCGGUGCCCGGACUGCAACGAGAACGGGCUACUGAGAUGUCCAAUCUGUUAA
RNAcentral lists this ribosomal RNA (1404 nucleotides) under Triticum aestivum (bread wheat). Its description in RNAcentral is "partial small subunit ribosomal RNA". The record is from RNAcentral. Lineage: Eukaryota; Viridiplantae; Streptophyta; Magnoliopsida; Poales; Poaceae.